RNAcentral lists this ribosomal RNA (309 nucleotides) under uncultured bacterium. Its description in RNAcentral is "partial 16S ribosomal RNA". It matches the Rfam family "Bacterial small subunit ribosomal RNA", at positions 504 to 809 of the family's 1533-position model. The record is from RNAcentral.
AGAGACAGCAGUCGCCGCGGUAAUACGGAGGGUGCAAGCGUUAAUCGGAAUUACUGGGCGUAAAGCGCACGCAGGCGGUCUGACAAGUCAGAUGUGAAAUCCCCGGGCUUAACCUGGGAACUGCAUUUGAAACUGUCAGGCUGGAGUCUUGUAGAGGGGGGUGGAAUUCCAGGUGUAGCGGUGAAAUGCGUAGAGAUCUGGAGGAAUACCGGUGGCGAAGGCGGCCCCCUGGACAAAGACUGACGCUCAGGUGCGAAAGCGUGGGGAGCAAACAGGAUUAGAUACCCGCGUAGUCCCUGUCUCUUAUAA